AGCGAACGCUGGCGGCAGGCCUAACACAUGCAAGUCGAACGAACUCUUCGGAGUUAGUGGCGGACGGGUGAGUAACACGUGGGAACGUGCCUUUAGGUUCGGAAUAACUCAGGGAAACUUGUGCUAAUACCGAAUGUGCCCUUCGGGGGAAAGAUUUAUCGCCUUUAGAGCGGCCCGCGUCUGAUUAGCUAGUUGGUGAGGUAAAGGCUCACCAAGGCGACGAUCAGUAGCUGGUCUGAGAGGAUGAUCAGCCACAUUGGGACUGAGACACGGCCCAAACUCCUACGGGAGGCAGCAGUGGGGAAUCUUGCGCAAUGGGAGAAAGCCUGACGCAGCCAUGCCGCGUGAAUGAUGAAGGUCUUAGGAUUGUAAAAUUCUUUAACCGGGGACGAUAAUGACGGUACCCGGAGAAGAAGCCCCGGCUAACUUCGUG
RNAcentral lists this ribosomal RNA (433 nucleotides) under uncultured bacterium. RNAcentral describes it as "partial 16S ribosomal RNA". It matches the Rfam family "Bacterial small subunit ribosomal RNA", at positions 29 to 507 of the family's 1533-position model. The record is from RNAcentral.